GAAUAAGGUGAAGGUGGAUACCGCUCAUCAAGAGCUUGGUUAAGUGUCCAAGACCGUAUGCCUUGCUGGUUGGAUCUGAAUCUGCUCUAUAGUUAUCUAAUCUCUUUCUUUUUCCUACCUCCCCUACGAAGGGAAGUACAAAGGAAGCUGCUUCGAAGUUGAAGGGGCUCGUCCAUUCACUAUAUGUCUGUAAUCUCAUACAUAAAGAGGAAGAUUUGGUUGGAUCUGAAUCUGCUCUAUUGUUAUCUAAUCUCAUUCUUUUUCCUACCUCCCAUACGAAGGGAAGUACAAAGGAAGCUGCUCCGAAGUUGAAGGGGCUCGUGCAUUCACUAUAUGUCUGUAAUCUCAUACAUAUAGAGGAUGAUUAAAAACUCAUCGAUCUCCUUACCGAUCCGGGAGGGGGGGUCUUCAUUCACUCUUCUCUUACUUUCCCUACUUCUAGAAAAAAAAAAGAAAUGUUGAACAAAAACGAUCUUUCUAAAGUUAAGGCAGCAGAUCGGUCGGCUGCGGGACGGGGCCGGGAGCAGCAGUAGGAGAAGCGAUAAGCCCUUCAAUCUACUCCUCAAAGCAGGAAUGGAGGGCCGCUUUCUUAAUAAUUCAAAUAGAUAGUUCUGCUCACAUCAAGGGAAGCUCUUCAUUAACUGAGAAGCUCAUUGGCUCGCCUUUGACUCUAGCCUCUCAUUUAACUCGCUACUUCGUCAAUUUCUCAGUCCCUCGUGAGUGUGGCACGCACCUCUACAUCUUUUCCUUUUAAUAGUCAAAGGACUGCUGCUCAUAACUACUAGCUAUCCAUCUAGCCCACGAUAGCGAAGGCUCAAAAAAAGGAUUGAAUGAGGUCAUUAACAUUGAAUCAUCAUAAGGAAGUCAAGUAGUCUGUGACUGACUAGCUGACGCUUCUGCCUCUCCACUUUCCACGAGUAAUAAAUGUAACGAUACCUAUGAGAACUAGACAGCUAGAGCGAAAUACUUGUAGCGAGUAAAGAACGAUUUCACAAAGUUUAUAAUAAAAUAGUACGAGUUGUAAAAGCGUAAGAGCUAUAUAGAACCACCUUUGGCCGGUCUCACAUCUUCCCAUCCUCUACUUAGUUGUCUCAAUUACAUCGAUCCUGAACUACGUCCAUCCA
This 1124-nucleotide long non-coding RNA is filed under the name Nicotiana benthamiana. RNAcentral describes it as "long non-coding RNA (NBEN_LNC007227)". The record is from RNAcentral. Lineage: Eukaryota; Viridiplantae; Streptophyta; Magnoliopsida; Solanales; Solanaceae.